This 670-nucleotide ribosomal RNA is filed under the name uncultured feedlot manure bacterium B101. Its description in RNAcentral is "bacterial SSU rRNA". It matches the Rfam family "Bacterial small subunit ribosomal RNA", at positions 67 to 751 of the family's 1533-position model. Lineage: Bacteria; Bacillati; Bacillota. The record is from RNAcentral.
CGAUGAAGUUUCCCUUCGGGAAACGGAUUAGCGGCGGACGGGUGAGUAACACGUGGGUAACCUGCCUCAUAGAGUGGAAUAGCCUUCCGAAAGGAAGAUUAAUACCGCAUAAUGUUGAAAGAUGGCAUCAUCAUUCAACCAAAGGAGCAAUCCGCUAUGAGAUGGACCCGCGGCGCAUUAGCUAGUUGGUGGGGUAACGGCCUACCAAGGCGACGAUGCGUAGCCGACCUGAGAGGGUGAUCGGCCACAUUGGGACUGAGACACGGCCCAGACUCCUACGGGAGGCAGCAGUGGGGAAUAUUGCACAAUGGGGGAAACCCUGAUGCAGCAACCCCGCGUGAGUGAUGAAGGUUUUCGGAUCGUAAAGCUCUGUCUUUGGGGAAGAUAAUGGCGGUACCCAAGGAGGAAGCCACGGCUAACUACGUGCCAGCAGCCGCGGUAAUACGUAGGUGGCGAGCGUUAUCCGGAUUUACUGGGCGUAAAGGGAGCGUAGGCGGAUGAUUAAGUGGGAUGUGAAAUACCCGGGCUCAACUUGGGUGCUGCAUUCCAAACUGGUUAUCUAGAGUGCAGGAGAGGAGAGUGGAAUUCCUAGUGUAGCGGUGAAAUGCGUAGAGAUUAGGAAGAACACCAGUGGCGAAGGCGACUCUCUGGACUGUAACUGACGCUGAGG